This 773-nucleotide ribosomal RNA is filed under the name uncultured bacterium. RNAcentral's name for it is "bacterial SSU rRNA". It matches the Rfam family "Bacterial small subunit ribosomal RNA", at positions 8 to 798 of the family's 1533-position model. The record is from RNAcentral.
AGAGUUUGAUCAUGGCUCAGGACGAACGCUGGCGGCGUGCUUAACACAUGCAAGUCGAACGGAAAGGCCCUUCGGGGUACUCGAGUGGCGAACGGGUGAGUAACACGUGGGUGAUCUGCCCUGCACUCUGGGAUAAGCCUGGGAAACUGGGUCUAAUACCGGAUAGGACCGCAUGCUUCAUGGUGAGUGGUGCAAAGCUUUUGCGGUGUGGGAUGAGCCCGCGGCCUAUCAGCUAGUUGGUGGGGUAAAGGCCUACCAAGGCGACGAUCUGUAGCUGGUCUGAGAGGACGACCAGCCACACUGGGACUGAGAUACGGCCCAGACUCCUACGGGAGGCAGCAGUGGGGAAUAUUGCACAAUGGGCGCAAGCCUGAUGCAGCGACGCCGCGUGAGGGAUGACGGCCUUCGGGUUGUAAACCUCUUUCAAUAGGGACGAAGCGCAAGUGACGGUACCUAUAGAAGAAGGACCGGCCAACUACGUGCCAGCAGCCGCGGUAAUACGUAGGGUCCGAGCGUUGUCCGGAAUUACUGGGCGUAAAGAGCUCGUAGGUGGUUUGUCGCGUUGUUCGUGAAAACUCACAGCUUAACUGUGGGCGUGCGGGCGAUACGGGCAGACUAGAGUACUGCAGGGGAGACUGGAAUUCCUGGUGUAGCGGUGGAAUGCGCAGAUAUCAGGAGGAACACCGGUGGCGAAGGCGGGUCUCUGGGCAGUAACUGACGCUGAGGAGCGAAAGCGUGGGGAGCGAACAGGAUUAGAUACCCUGGUAGUCCAA